RNAcentral lists this ribosomal RNA (249 nucleotides) under uncultured bacterium. Its description in RNAcentral is "partial 16S ribosomal RNA". It matches the Rfam family "Bacterial small subunit ribosomal RNA", at positions 110 to 353 of the family's 1533-position model. The record is from RNAcentral.
GUAACACGUGAGCAACCUGGCUCUAAGAGGGGGGACGAACAGUUGGAAACGACUGCUAAUACCGCAUAACGUAUCGGGAUGGCAUCUUCCUGAUACCAAAAGAUUUUAUCGCUUAGAGAUGGGCUCGCGUCUGAUUAGAUAGUUGGCGGGGUAACGGCCCACCAAGUCGACGAUCAGUAGCCGGACUGAGAGGUUGAACGGCCACAUUGGGACUGAGACACGGCCCAGACUCCUACGGGAGGCAGCAUG